CAAAGAUCAGAUAGUUGUAGAUAUGCGGCAUUAUUUCUGAGGCCUCUGUUCUGUUCCAUUGAUCUAUAUCUCUGUUUUGGUACCAGUAUCAAGCCAAAAGAACAAAGCUGGAGGCAUCACACUACCCGACUUCAAACUAUACUACAAGGCUACUGUGUCAACACUUUUAAUGUGGCUAAGUCGCUAAUAGAAUCAAAUCUAAAAGACAUAUGACCUCCCAAUUUUGUAAAUCAAUUUAACAAUUAUUAUUUAAAUACCUACUUAUUUCUAAAAAUGUCUAGGCAGCCCACAUCUCAUACUGCCUCUGUCUCUAUGCACUGUGCUUGGUUGAAUGCACACUGAGAGUGGAGGACAGAGUUGUUUACCAAACAUUAUUCCCCUAACUUGAAGGUCCCUUUGCUCUUUUUUUAUUUCUGCUAUUUUUCUUCCCAUCUCCCUGGGGAAUCCUAACAAGAUUACAUACUAGAGAGAUAAAAUCCAUUGCUUUGCUAUUGUGGCCGCACUAUGAUCCUUCUUUCUCUGGCUCCAAUUUGCUGAAGUCCCAAUGACACAGCACAAAAGAGAAGAAAAUAUUUGCUAUAAUCCCUACUUUUCAAUAAUUUUAGAAAUAAUUUCUUUUGCCUAAUUCUACCUCUUUACUUUCAUCAAUCUUUUGCUCCAAGAAAGAAAGGUGUUAUGGGGAACAGUUAUGCUCACUAUCUUUGUGAUUCCAUAGAAAAGAAAAGGAAGCUUCUGUCAGCACACACACUCCACAUAUUCAUACACACCACAGACACAAACCACACUCACCACACAUGCACACACACCCCACAUAAACACACCAGGCACAUACUCUGCCUCUGCCUCCCCAGUCUUGAAGGCAACGCUACAGGUUCCUGGCUUCUCCAUUUGUGACUGGGGAAAUUGAUUCCAGUUGAAAAAAUUGCAUAAUAAAGCUAACUUUUUCUCAUUUUGUCUCAAAUCCUUGUGUGUAUAAUAUAUUGCCAAGAAUACUGACUAACUCCAUGCAAAGAUUCCUUCAGGAAGUAAUAAUGUUGAGAUCUAGACCCCAUUAAUUUGGCCAGUUAUUGCUAAGUAAUGUGACGGAACUUUUAAUGUUUGGGGGUGGGAGUGUGUGAAUCUCACUGCUUUGUGUAUUGUGCUCAGAAGCUAAAAUAAUUUCUGUCUGCCCUCCUUCCACUUUAUUCCAUACUAGUAUCAGAAGGAAGAGUACAAUGAAUGAGGCUGCUGACAUAUUGUGGUAAACCAGAUCCAACCCUUGGGGCUUCCUAAUGUACUUAACUUAUUAAGAUUAAUUUUCUGGAAGACUCCAUCUUUUAACUGCUGUUCCUGAGUCUGCUCUUUGCUGGGUAUGAGUAUGCUUCGAUGAAACUGACACUCCAUUUCCACAUUUGUAGGAAAGCCUCUUGGCCAUAGGAUAAUGACCCACAUCCAUCCACCACAGCCACACACGGAGCUGGCAAGAAUGCAGCUCCUCACUCACAGCUGCCUCUGCAGGCAGGGCUGCGGAUGGCGCUGAAGCAGAAGAAAAAUGGAAAAAUGAAGCAAAAGAAGAAAACCUUUCCCUUAAUACCUCCCCGCAAACCUGGUUCAUCGGGCAUUUAAAGGAAGACAACACUCAGUUGGCACAUGCAG
Molecule: long non-coding RNA, 1635 nt
Filed under: Homo sapiens (human)
Lineage: Eukaryota; Metazoa; Chordata; Mammalia; Primates; Hominidae
Description: HSALNT0077024
Source: RNAcentral